GUUGAUAAUACCUCUUUCUGUUAACAUUUCAAAAGCCCGUUUUGCUGAGAAUCAUGCAUUUGAUAUUUAAAAGCUAAUAAAUCCAACUGAUAGAUAGUAGGAAAAUUUUAUUGAUAUAUUCAUUGCAAAAUAGUUCUUCAAACCAAAUUUUGUUUUUGCCUUUGUACUCGUAGUUUCUUUACACUACAUGACUGAGUGAUUGCUACAGUGAAAACACUACUUGCCUACAGCCUUGCUCAAUUAAUUCAUAAGGACUACAUAGGAGGCAGUUAAUACUUGAAUGAAUGAGUGGAUGAAUGCCUCCCCUCUAUGAAAGAAGCUAUGAUGAGGAACCUGAGGCACAGAAUGGGCAAAUGGCUUGUCCAAGAUCACACAGCAAGACAGCAGUGGAGAGAAGAGUCACUGCUUUUGAUUAGCCCAAAUCCUUUUCCACCUGUACCUUGAAGCAAUGAAUGUCAGGCAGCAUGUCAGUUAUAUAGCUGAGAUGCUGACCAUUUUUUUCUCCUCCCCCACACAAAGAAGUAAUCCAAACAAUGGUCAAGCAUUAAUAAAAACAGAAACACCUUGUUAAAAUAACAAAUGUAAAUUGGACUCAAAAGAUGACAGAUUUUUAUGUAUGUGCCCAAAGUUUCAGAGAUGGUUUUAUUCAUGGCCAUGAGCCCAGCACGUGCUUUUGUAACUUCCCAAGCUUUGCUUCUUCAACCCCAGUAUGCUUCAACCUCAGGAAGUCCCC
Molecule: long non-coding RNA, 733 nt
Filed under: Pongo abelii (Sumatran orangutan)
Lineage: Eukaryota; Metazoa; Chordata; Mammalia; Primates; Hominidae
Description: lncRNA (ENSPPYG00000038959.1)
Source: RNAcentral